UCCGACGGCGGCCGCCAGCCACGCUCCAUCUACACCUUCUGCCUCAGCAACCAGCGCAAGGGGAGCGGCCGUCGUGACCUGGGAGGCAGCUGCUUGAAGGUGAGGGGGGUGGCCCCCCUGCGAGUGCCACGGAGAUGAGCCUGGACCCCGGUGGCAUUUGCUCCAAGCAGGACCUGGAGAAGGAAGCCAGAGGCCAGCCAGCGGUUGACCAGGGGAGAAGACCCCAGGAGCCGAUCCUACCCCUCGAUAGUACAGGGACCAGAGGACAAUGGCUUGGGCCCGUGACCCUUUGGACAGGCCCCCUGGGACCUCUCUACCCCACCGUGGAGAGCUGUGAAGACCCAUCCAGCUGGCCCCAGUCCUGGCUGGUCAGAGACAAGGCAGAACUUUUGGAAAAACAGAUUGUUGGUGACAGAGGGUGUGUGCAUGAGUGAGUGAGUAUGUAAAUGUGUGUGUGUGAGAGAGAGCGAGAGAAUUGGUGGGUUUAAAUAAAAGGUAUUUUUAAAUAAAGGAUGUUCCCAAGUGAGGAAGGGAAGGGUCUGGGGACAUCGGCGGUCAGAGGUGACCCUUCUCCUGGACCUUGGCAGAGGCACCGAUGUCACCAGGACUGCCCUGUGCCCUGGAGGGAUGUGCUGGGAGAAUGCAGGAAGACCCCAGAAGUCGGGAUAACUAAACUUUCCUCAGAGUCUUCUUGAAUACCUGUUGUGGUUGGUAAAGAAACCUUACUUGUAUUCAUUUUUGAAUAAGGAAUAUAUUCAUUCAUAUGGUUCAAAAUUCAAAAGGUACAAGAGGGUAUAUAGUGAAUACAAAGAUUGUCAGUGCCAAAGGUAUCUCCAGCAGAUACCUAUCCACCUACCACUUCUCUCUGCAGCCUCAGCCACCAGUUAUGAUACCCAUUUCCCGUGAAUAACCAAGCAAAUACAGGGAAAAAAUACCUUUUUUCUUCCACUCUUUAUACAAACAGUAGCAUGUUACACAUGCUUUCUGCUCCUUGCUUUUUUGUUUUGUCUUCAUCUAACUUGGCUGUCAUCUCAAAUCAGAUCACAGAGGUAAAGGGUGCCCUUAUUCCUUUAGUGACUGCUUAUUGCACUUUAUGAAUGUACGAUGCAGGCAUACCUCGGUGAUAUUGCACAUUCGGUUCCAGACCACCACAAUAAAGCAAGUAUCGCGAUAAA
Myotis davidii is the source of this 1175-nucleotide long non-coding RNA. RefSeq lists it as uncharacterized. The transcript has 2 exons. NCBI's taxonomy places the organism in Eukaryota, Metazoa, Chordata, Mammalia, Chiroptera, Vespertilionidae. The record is from RefSeq and is a predicted model, not a curated record.